UACGUAGGGUGCAAGCGUUAAUCGGAAUUACUGGGCGUAAAGCGUGCGCAGGCGGUUAUUUAAGUCAGCUGUGAAAUCCCCGGGCUCAACCUGGGAAUGGCAGUUGAGACUGAAUGGCUAGAGUGUGUCAGAGGGGGGUAGAAUUCCACGUGUAGCAGUGAAAUGCGUAGAGAUGUGGAGGAAUACCGAUGGCGAAGGCAGCCCCCUGGGAUAACACUGACGCUCAUGCACGAAAGCGUGGGGAGCAAACAGG
This 253-nucleotide ribosomal RNA is filed under the name uncultured bacterium. RNAcentral's name for it is "partial 16S ribosomal RNA". It matches the Rfam family "Bacterial small subunit ribosomal RNA", at positions 524 to 776 of the family's 1533-position model. The record is from RNAcentral.